CUCAGAGCAGGGAAACCUGCCUGAGAAGUCAGCAGAGGUCAUAGUAGUUACAGGCAACGAGCCGGCAAGUGUUUCGCACCAGAUAGUCGGAGGUCUCACAGAGAUAACGAAGGAC
Molecule: non-coding RNA, 115 nt
Organism: Macellibacteroides sp. HH-ZS
Lineage: Bacteria; Pseudomonadati; Bacteroidota; Bacteroidia; Bacteroidales; Porphyromonadaceae
Source: Rfam